CAAGCUGUGAUGGGGAGGGAAAUAAUAGUACCGAAGUUCCUGAUGUCACACUGCCGAGAAAAGCUUCUAGUGAGAAAACAGCGGCCCGUACCGCAAACCGACACAGGUAGUCGAGGAGAGAAUCCUAAGGUGAGCGAGAGAACUCUCGUUAAGGAACUCGGCAAAAUGACCCCGUAACUUCGGGAGAAGGGGUGCUGAUCAUACGAUCAGCCGCAGUGAAUAGGCCCAAGCGACUGUUUAUCAAAAACACAGGUCUCUGCAAAAUCGUAAGAUGAAGUAUAGGGGCUGACGCCUGCCCGGUGCUGGAAGGUUAAGAGGAGUGCUUAGCGCAAGCGAAGGUACGAAUUGAAGCCCCAGUAAACGGCGGCCGUAACUAUAACGGUCCUAAGGUAGCGAAAUUCCUUGUCGGGUAAGUUCCGACCCGCACGAAAGGCGUAACGAUUUGGGCACUGUCUCAACGAGAGACUCGGUGAAAUUUUAGUACCUGUGAAGAUGCAGGUUACCCGCGACAGGACGGAAAGACCCCAUGGAGCUUUACUGUAGUUUGAUAUUGAGUGUCUGUACCGCAUGUACAGGAUAGGUAGGAGCCGUAGAAAUCGGAACGCUAGUUUCGAUGGAGGCGCUGGUGGGAUACUACCCCUGCGUUAUGGCCACUCUAACCCGCACCACUAAUCGUGGUGGGAGACAGUGUCAGAUGGGCAGUUUGACUGGGGCGGUCGCCUCCUAAA
RNAcentral lists this ribosomal RNA (728 nucleotides) under Enterococcus faecium. RNAcentral describes it as "partial 23S ribosomal RNA". It matches the Rfam family "Bacterial large subunit ribosomal RNA", at positions 1557 to 2294 of the family's 2925-position model. Lineage: Bacteria; Bacillati; Bacillota; Bacilli; Lactobacillales; Enterococcaceae. The record is from RNAcentral.